UGUUUGAGCAGACAUUAGACUGGUCCCUAAAAAUCCAGUGCACUCUACCACGACCACGACACACGACAACAUCACGAUGCCUGGGCGGCGCACACAUGAUGAACUGUGUCGUGUCAAAAAGCAAUGUUUUUGGCAUCCUCCAACUCAGCUCGUCGGAUGAGUACAUGUGGAGGCCGCGCAACUGGUCGGACUUGUCGAUGCCGAGGAUCAUCACUGUGAAAAAGGUCAAGGAUCCUGCGGAUAGCGGUGGAAGUGACUGUGUGCUCGAGGAGGAGCCCGAGAAACCCAGCUCCUCAACUCCUCUUUUUUGCAUUGAGAUCUUCACCAACUUUUGUUCGUAAACUCCUGGAGUUGGACUGUUCGGCCCAAAUCCGGGCAUGGAGUUGAUGGAGCCAGAAGCUAGAGGAAGUGGUUCAAACACCUUGUCCCGUACCUGGUUGUCCUGUGUGGUAAUGACUUCGUGAGAGAAUUUGGUCCUAACGGUAGGCUAACAGUGAUUGGGUGAGUUUGUCUUGGCCGAAUGGUCACUUACAAGGAAGGACAAAUGUAUGGAUCAAGGCAACUCAGGUGGCGCCACAUAUUCGAUGUGCGCUUUGUGCUUGCAUUGAUGUACAACUCCUAUAGCCUGGACUUCGAUUACACGAAUACAAUGAUGAGCUUUGAGGUGCUUGGCUACAUGCUUGAGUGGACCAAGAAGCUGAUGCUCCAAGUGCCAUCCAUGAAUCUGUGCUCUCUUUAUGUUGUUGAUGUUGAGUAAAAGGCACUACUCGUGAUGGACCCAUGCGAGACAUCCAAAGACAAAGAUGACAUGAAGCUCAAGCAUGAAGACAACGCAAACAUCAUCCUGGAGGGACUCUAUCGCUGCAUCCAUGCAAACAUAUCAGGGUGGUAUGUGCCAUCUUUAGGUUGUAAGAUGCUCUACAAUGUGGGGAUGCAUCACAGCUCUGAAAUCCAGGACAACCACCUACAUGUGGGAAAUUACAUCAGGGAGUUCACAAAUCUGUACAUCUACAAUCCUCUCACACCGGAACACGCAGUGGUCCUGAUGCUCUCAUUUGUAAGAACUUCUAUGAAGUGCACUAGUGAUGCUAAUAGAGUGUUGCAGAUUUCAGAACUGCCUCCACUACUUUCUUCGGUUGAUUGCUUAUGAGGUGCAACAGGGAUGAGCUACCAGAUUUCAUGCUUCAGGUGGUGCCAUUCUGAAGUAAAAGGUCACUUGGGAUAGGAAAAAAAGAUACAGUGAAUCAACCAGUGCAUGCUGUGAGGGGAUUCUUAGUUGCCAUACCAAUAGCUAAGGCAGUGUGGUAGUGGUUCCCAGGUGAUUCCAGUUUGUGCAAAUUCUAUGUAUUUUGGGCAUCUCGACUUGUGCAAGACUAAUUCCAUCGAAGCGGUGCAUCCUGGAUGGAAAUGUUAACUGCCAUCCCUAUAGCGAAGACGGUGUGGUAGUGGUUUCCAAGCUAUCCUAGUUUGUGCCCAUGUUAUGUAUUAUGAGCAUCUGAAGCACUCAAGACCAUGCGUAGACAUGUUUAAGUCCGUCUUCAGACCUAGUUAAGAAACUUAUGUGUGGAACCUAUCUAUGGUACCAUAAAGUUUGGUUGUUGAGUGCAUGAUUCAUGUUUAUAUAUUAAGUUAGAUUGGUGAAGACGAAUGCUGCCUUUUUGCAUUGCGUUGUUGCAUUUGGACUGUUUUAUGUUAGCAAAGCCAAAACACUCAGGUAAACAUCAGUGAUAGAAUUUUUCUAAAAUU
Triticum aestivum (bread wheat) is the source of this 1746-nucleotide long non-coding RNA. RefSeq lists it as uncharacterized. The record is from RefSeq and is a predicted model, not a curated record. The transcript has 5 exons. NCBI's taxonomy places the organism in Eukaryota, Viridiplantae, Streptophyta, Magnoliopsida, Poales, Poaceae.